UAAGAUGCAGUCAGUGAGUCACAGA
This 25-nucleotide non-coding RNA is filed under the name Rattus norvegicus (Norway rat). The record is from RNAcentral. Lineage: Eukaryota; Metazoa; Chordata; Mammalia; Rodentia; Muridae.